RNAcentral lists this ribosomal RNA (373 nucleotides) under uncultured bacterium. Its description in RNAcentral is "bacterial SSU rRNA". It matches the Rfam family "Bacterial small subunit ribosomal RNA", at positions 32 to 413 of the family's 1533-position model. The record is from RNAcentral.
AAUCAACGCUGGCGGCGUGCCUAACACAUGCAAGUCGAACGAGAAAGUGGAGCAAUCCACAAGUAAAGUGGCGCACGGGUGAGUAACACGUGACUAACCUACCCUUGAGUGGGGGAUAACCUAGGGAAACCUGGGCUAAUACCGCAUAAUACCUAUGGGUCAAAGGAGCAAUUCGCUUUUGGAGGGGGGUCGCGGCAGAUUAGUUAGUUGGCAGGGGUAAUGGCCUACCAAGACGAUGANCUGUAUCCGGCCUGAGAGGGCGCACGGACACACUGGAACUGAAACACGGUCCAGACUCCUACGGGAGGCAGCAGUGGGGAAUUUUGCGCAAUGGGGGAAACCCUGACGCAGCAACGCCGCGUGGAGGAUGAAG